CCUACGGGGAGCAGCAGUGGGGAAUAUUGGACAAUGGGCGAAAGCCUGAUCCAGCCAUGCCGCGUGUGUGAAGAAGGCCUUCGGGUUGUAAAGCACUUUCAGUGGGGAAGAAAGCCUUGGGGCUAAUACCCUCGAGGAAGGACAUCACCCACAGAAGAAGCACCGGCUAACUCCGUGCCAGCAGCCGCGGUAAUACGGAGGGUGCGAGCGUCAAUCGGAAUUACUGGGCGUAAAGCGCGCGUAGGCGGUCUGAUAAGCCGGUUGUGAAAGCCCCGGGCUCAACCUGGGAACGGCAUCCGGAACUGUCAGGCUAGAGUGCAGGAGAGGAAGGUAGAAUUCCCGGUGUAGCGGUGAAAUGCGUAGAGAUCGGGAGGAAUACCAGUGGCGAAGGCGGCCUUCUGGACUGACACUGACGCUGAGGUGCGAAAGCGUGGGUAGCAAACAGGAUUAGAUACCCCUGUAGUC
This 465-nucleotide ribosomal RNA is filed under the name Vreelandella stevensii. RNAcentral describes it as "partial 16S ribosomal RNA". It matches the Rfam family "Bacterial small subunit ribosomal RNA", at positions 338 to 795 of the family's 1533-position model. The record is from RNAcentral. Lineage: Bacteria; Pseudomonadati; Pseudomonadota; Gammaproteobacteria; Oceanospirillales; Halomonadaceae.